RNAcentral lists this ribosomal RNA (252 nucleotides) under uncultured bacterium. RNAcentral describes it as "partial 16S ribosomal RNA". It matches the Rfam family "Bacterial small subunit ribosomal RNA", at positions 524 to 776 of the family's 1533-position model. The record is from RNAcentral.
GACGGAGGAUGCGAGCGUUAUCCGGAAUGAUUGGGCGUAAAGCGUCCGCAGGUGGCAGUUCAAGUCUGCUGUCAAAGACCGGGGCUUAACUUCGGAAAGGCAGUGGAAACUGAACAGCUAGAGUAUGGUAGGGGCAGAGGGAAUUCCUGGUGUAGCGGUGAAAUGCGUAGAGAUCAGGAAGAACAUCGGUGGCGAAGGCGCUCUGCUGGACCAUAACUGACACUCAGGGACGAAGCUAGGGGAGCGAAUGGG